This 433-nucleotide ribosomal RNA is filed under the name uncultured bacterium. Its description in RNAcentral is "partial 16S ribosomal RNA". It matches the Rfam family "Bacterial small subunit ribosomal RNA", at positions 29 to 507 of the family's 1533-position model. The record is from RNAcentral.
AGCGAACGCUGGCGGCAGGCCUAACACAUGCAAGUCGAACGAACUCUUCGGAGUUAGUGGCGGACGGGUGAGUAACACGUGGGAACGUGCCUUUUGGUUCGGAAUAACUCAGGGAAACUUGUGCUAAUACCGAAUGUGCCCUUCGGGGGAAAGAUUUAUCGCCAUUAGAGCGGCCCGCGUCUGAUUAGCUAGUUGGUGAGGUAACGGCUCACCAAGGCGACGAUCAGUAGCUGGUCUGAGAGGAUGACCAGCCACACUGGGACUGAGACACGGCCCAGGCUCCUACGGGAGGCAGCAGUGGGGAAUCUUGCGCAAUGGGCGAAAGCCUGACGCAGCCAUGCCGCGUGAAUGAUGAAGGUCUUAGGAUUGCAAAAUUCUUUCACCGGGGACGAUAAUGACGGUACCCGGAGAAGAAGCCCCGGCUAACUUCGUG